GCCCCCCCCUUUGUCCAGCUGGGACACGGAAUGGCCACGGGCCUCCUCCCCCUCCCCUCCAGCCCCUCCACCAGCCCCUCCAGUCACCCCUCAUCGCCGUGCCCCCCCAGAGCUAGAGAGAUGGGGCCCCUCCGUGGCCCAAGGGGCAGAGCUGGGCGUCACCUCCCAAGCAUCCUGCCCUGCCGGGGCGCGGGGAUGGGCUCUGGGGAAGCCGGUGCGCCCCCCACGCCUCCGCUGCCAGUGCCUUACAUUCUGGAGCGACCCCCCUCCCUGGUGCCUCCCAGCGAAGGGGGACUGCCGUUUGCACUUUCAUCGCCCCCCCAAGUGGGGCCCAGCCGGGGGACGUGCAUAACGGCUGGGCCCCCGGAGGAGAGAGGAGGCCGACGCCAGCGGUCCCCGCUCGGGACGGGGAGGGUUCUGGGGGGGUUCGGCGUCGCACCUCGGGGCUCCCUCGCGGCCGUGUAGGGGGCCUCCCAUCUGCUAAGCGUUUUUCCGUUGAGCCGCUCCAAAAACACUAAGCUGGGGACGCCAGGUGCCCGCCACCCCGGCUCCCUGGCCCCAUCCACACCUCCACCCCCACCCCAGGAUCGCCAUCUUUAGGGGAGGCCCGGGAGGGGGUGUUAGGUGUUUUAGGGCCACCGAGCUCAAACACAAGGACCCCUCCCCGGCUCACCCAGCCCAGCCCCAACUGACCUCCAUGCCUAGGGAGAAUCUCCCCCCACCACGGCCCCCUCCCCGCACCCAGGCCAAAGCCAGGGCAGGUCUCCGGGUCUCACCUGCUCCUAGCCUCACCCCCUUGCCCCGGAAAUCCAGACUCUCCUCCCAAACUAGCCCCAGGAGCUUGGCGACCCCGCUCGCUCCUGAAGAGAAAGACCCAGGACCCUUCCCCAUCACCCCCAAGAGAGGUUCGCCAUCCUCUGGCCUCAGACCCUUGGUCCGUCCGUCCGUCUGUCUGUCCUCAGGGCCCCGCCCCCCGGUGGCCCUUGGGGACCAAAGUGUGGGCCGCUCUCCAGGAGGGCGGCGGGGGAGGGUGGUAGGGUUGUGCCAUUGGGGCAUCCGGAAGCUUCUCAGCCAGGGUGGGGGUCGUGGCGUUGGGGAGGGGGGCCAGCCGGGCUCCCGAGGGUCAGGGCGUGACCAGAACCAACUCUUUACCUAACUUUGCAUGGUGCUUAGUCAAGGACUCCUGCGACCUGGCUCCCGAGGUCAGCUGGCGGCGCUGACACACAUGCAUGGCAGAUUAUACCUGGCUCUAUCUCCCUCCCCCUCGCCCCCCCUGCCCCCCACUUCCUCUUUAAAAAAAAAAAAAAGAUACAAAAAAAAACCUUAAAAAAAUUCCAUGUUUCCUAAUUUGCACGAAAUUUUCUACCACAAGAUGUGCCUUGCCUUCCGAGAAUAAGUAUUACCUUUGAACAAUAUCAGCGCACACACAUAGCUGCAUGUUCUGCUCGUGUAGUUUAAAAAAAAAAAAAAGACAAAACAGUGACAUGAAAUAAAAAAUAAAAAUUGAAAAGGGAUGUAUUUCUAUUUGUAAAAAAAAAAUUAAAAAAUAAGAAAGUGAGAAUCUAAAAAAAAAAAAAGAAGAAGAAAAACCACGCUAAAAAUCAAGCCACUGAAAACAGUUGCCCCCAGGUCUACCCAGUCCCUGGCUGUCCUUGGUCCUGUCUCCCCUCCUGCUGUAUUCAGGGGUGCCCCCUGGUGCUCAGCCUCUACCACCCCCAACCCUGCUCUCGGGUACCCAGAGGGGUCAUUUCUGAACCCCUGCCCAGAGGACAGACCUCUAGGGCCCACCUUGGCCCCGGGAAAGGGCUCUUCUCUCUAAUUGGUCCCUGGGCCACAGGCCGGCCCCCAGACACCAUUCACUGACCCACUGCAGGCUGUCCCCCCAACCAUGGGGUGGCUACCCCACUUGCAGCCAGACUCCCCGCUCCCCACUUUUCAUGCAGGCUGGCAUACCCCUGGCUCAGGGUCAAAUGCUGUUCACACCCACCUCAGAGGCACCCCCUCUCCCCUGCCCUGUGCACCCCCACCCUUCUUGCCAAAGGACCUCUUUUCCCCUAUCCAGACACCACCCCGGGUGGCAUUCUCUCCCACCCUCUCCUUUGUCCCCCAUCCCCUGUCUCUGUCUUCCAGCUGUGAAAUGAAGGGUAUCCGGUAUGAAACAAACACACAAAACCUGAUAUAUGCAAUAUCUGUCCGUCCGUCUGUCUGUGUGUCUACCCACGGGCCUGACUCAGCCAUUGGAGGCCCAGCCGAGGGUCCGGCAGGGCGCAGGGACAGCCAGGUAGCGCCAGGUCGCAGGCCGCGCUCCGGUGGCUGACCAUGCUGUUGUCUUGUCCUUGCUUUUAUUUUCUCUUGUUCUUUCUUUCUCUUUUCUUUUUGUUUUUAACUCCAGCUUCCUUUGCUUUUUACUUGACCAAAGAUAAGACAAUAGCCAGAUGGUUAGUGGGGCAGCCAGGCAGGGAGGACCCAGGGCUGGGAUUCUCCAACCUUAGGCCAUUCCUGCAGCCCUAACCACCUCCGGCCCCUCCCGGGCCCUCCAAGCGUCUCGUGUAGGGACCCACGCAGAUGGUCCCGUUCAUUCACCAUGGCCCCCCCACCCUGGGGUUUCGGGUGGUCUCCACAGCCACCAUCACUCAUCCCAUGUUUUCUUCCAAAAAGUCACCUCAGCAGUCUCCCCAGGUGACACAGAGGGAGAGCCCAGACCACCACAGCUGGCCACGACUUUGCCCUUAAGUACUAUCCAUUGGCCAGAGAGCGUAGGCUGGCUGUGCACAGCAUCCAUGUAGCUGAUUUCUGGCUUUUUUUUUUUUUCCUGCCCCCCUCCUGAGCAAAUCUGUCUUGCCAGGGAACUGGGAGCAACCGGUGGCAAAGGGAAUGGGUGGCACCAUGACUGUCGGGACCAUCAAGCCCCUGCGCAGCCCACAUCUGGGGGCCCUGAGUCCUGGGCUGGGUGCCACCUUUCUCCCCCCGAGCUUGCCUCCUGGGCUCACUUGGCACCUUGGCCGAGUACAGCAGGCAGAAGCCCGUGCCGGGCAGCAUGUUGUGGCUGGUUUAGUUCUCCCCGCCUCCCCCCAUUUCUUGGAAAAGAUAUAGGGUCCUGGUAGGGCAAAAUUCCCAGGCACCUUGCUGCAGACAGAAUAAGACAAAAACACCAGGAACCAGGAUUCCAUGCACACCUCUGCAGUGUGGGUUCACAAAAGGGGGUGCUGUCAUCCCUGGGUGGAAGAGAGAGUUGGUUUGGGGUUUGCUUUUCUUUUUACAUGUAUGAAACGGACAUCUUCUCAGACCUUGUCCCAAAGCCUGGAUCACCCAUCCCUGCUGUGGACACCACACCCACGCCAGGUCCCCCCAGUCCCACUCUGGGGUCUGCCCAUUCUGUGGGAAAGAAUAGGGAGGCCUCCCAAAUAUAUGCAAAUUGUCCCCAUUCCAUGGGGGCACCUGACACCGACCCGGGUGGAGAUGGGGCAUGGAGGAGUAGGAAGACCCAGCCCUAUUUGUCUGGGGAGAAGGGGUCUGGAGUCCUUCAUGCCCAGGUCUGGAACCCAGGUUCUGACCCCAGAGCCCCACCCUGGGCUAGACAAUCAGAUCCCAAAGGGAUGCCAAAGGGGACUUUGUUGGGAGAUCCGCUUAGGGGCCAGACCUGGGUCCCCCUGCAGGUCCCCAGGCAGCAGGCCAUUCCACCUUCCGUGCCCCAGGCACAGACAGACUUGGCUGUACCCCACUGUCCCUUGCAAGACAGGUCCUGGAGCCGGGAGCAACUGUCCAGCCCUCCAGAAGAGACAGCAAGCAGGCCCCCUCUACACCCUGACCUCCCCGAUGGUACUUCGACCUCCAGUGUAGGGCUAUACUAUACAUAUAUAUAAUUUUGGAAUGUGUUUCUCAUAAUACAGAGUAUACAGUGGCUACCUUUUAUCUUGGUCUGGAUUCUCUCUCUGAGACCCCGGAUUUUACUUUCUCUUUGGAGGGCGCUGGGACAGUCUGUCAAUCCAGCUUCCUCUGCAUCCUCCCAUCUUUCCCCGUUUCUGCCCUAUCAGACACUUCCUGAGAAUCUCACCUCCAAACUGACACCACUGCCCAUCCAUCACUCAGUGGUACAGAGUGUGGGGUCAGUCCACCACCCUUGAUCUCCCCACAGGGCGAGGGGAGGAGGCGGACCCAAAGCACCACCAGCAGGACUUGUUGCCAGUGAUACCAAAACAGACUUUUCCCCAGCAGUGCCUCACAUGUCUACUGGUGUAGCUUUGGGAUUCUCCUGCCGCCCCCCACAGUCCGUGGCAGCCCCCUCCCCAAGGCUUUGCUCACACCUGAGACAGGAAGGAGGAAGGGGAUCCAACAGGAAUAAGGGCCCCAGAGAGGAAGGAAGUCAUGCACCCCCAAGCCACCACCUCCCAGCCGCUCACGCACACCUCCUGGCUGGAAGAAAGCCCUCUGAAAAGGGGACAUGGGCUGCCCUGGCCCCUCGACUGCACCCACACCCCAUCCUCUCAUCCUGAGUCCCAGCCAGGCCCCCCCAAAACCAAAGCCCCCUCAAGUCUAGGAGUCCCAGCCUGUGCCCCCAGCUUCCUACCCACCUGGCCCCGAGCAUCCCCACACAGAGAAAGAACAAGCAAAGGCUCCGGGGGGACAGGAUGGGGCAGGGCAUACAGUGGGGGGUUGGGGGGCAGCAGGAAGGAGGGAGGAACAAAACAUUUUUCUUUGGGUUUUUGUUUUGUUUUGUUUUCUUUUUUUCCCCUCCUUACUCUUUGGGUGGUGUUGCUUUUCCUUUCCUUUUCCCUUGGAGAUUUUUUUUGUUGUUGUUUCCAUUUUGUAUUUUACUGAUAUUACCAGGAUAGUUUACUCUCCUUCUAGCUUUCUGCUUACCGCACACCGGAUAACACACACGUACACACCCACAAAAAUGCUCAUGAACCCAAUCCGGAGAAGGUUCCGGCUGGGUCCCCCACCCUCCCCACCUCCUGCUACUCCUCCUCCCGACGGCGAGGGCAGGAGGGGGACAAGGGGACACCUGGGCAGACCCGCCGGCUCUCCCCACCCCGCCCCACCCCUCACAUCAUACUCCAAUCAUAACCUUGUAUAUUACGCAGCCCUUUUGGUUUUUGCGGACGCGCCUACCUAAGUACCAUUUACAGAAAGUGACUCUGGCUGUCAUUAUUUUGUUUAUUUGUUCCCUAUGCAAAAAAAAAAAAAAAAAAAAAAAAAUGAAAAAAGGGGGAUUCCAUAAAAGAUUCAAUAAAAGACAAAAAAAAAGAAAAAAGAAAAAAAUGUAUAAAAAUUAAACAAGCUAUGCUUCGACUCUU
RNA transcript from Rhinopithecus roxellana (golden snub-nosed monkey), 5297 nucleotides. It is a transcript of the gene named exonuclease GOR-like, with no coding region annotated. The transcript has a single exon. Lineage: Eukaryota; Metazoa; Chordata; Mammalia; Primates; Cercopithecidae. The record is from RefSeq and is a predicted model, not a curated record.